This 301-nucleotide ribosomal RNA is filed under the name uncultured bacterium. Its description in RNAcentral is "partial 16S ribosomal RNA". It matches the Rfam family "Bacterial small subunit ribosomal RNA", at positions 509 to 807 of the family's 1533-position model. The record is from RNAcentral.
CAGCCGCCGCGGGAAUACGAAGGGUGCAAGCGUUAAUCGGAAUUACUGGGCGUAAAGCGUGCGUAGGCGGUUUGUUAAGUCUGUUGUGAAAUCCCCGGGCUCAACCUGGGAAUGGCAAUGGAUACUGGCUCGCUAGAGUGUGUCAGAGGAUGGUGGAAUUCCCGGUGUAGCGGUGAAAUGCGUAGAGAUCGGGAGGAACAUCAGUGGCGAAGGCGACUAUCUGGGCCAACACUGACACUGAGGCACGAAAGCGUGGGGAGCAAACAGGAUUAGAUACCCCCGUAGUCCCUGUCUCUUAUAC